CUUUUUUCUUUUUAAAGAAUAUUUGCUCAAAGUUGUUUAACACAUCAAAAUUUUAAUAACAGUUAAUUCAUCACAAUUAGCUUCUCAUUAUAACAAAAUCUGUGUUUUUCAUGAAGUCAAACAGAAAAUGAGAAGAACUUGACAAGAAUUCGCCUUCCGAAGGAUGCUCGAAUCCUGAAUCUACAAUGGCUCGAAGAAGCUCCGGCUUUAGAAGGAAAUCUCUGAAUCCUGAGCUGUGAAUUCCAACAUAGCCCCUACAUAACAGAGGAAACAAAGAAUGAAGACAUGGAGAAUGCUAUCAAAAGCAAUCUCAAGAUAGAAAGCUCAAUCAAUAGCAAGCCAAAAUGGGCAUGACAGACGAGUUUGAAGCUUCUUUACAAGUACUAUGGGGAUUUGAUACUGAAAUUUCUUUUGAAGUGAAUGAAAUCAAGAGAUCUGUAACUUCCACAAGCAGGAGAACAACCAUCUGAUUUUCUGAUCUCAAGCAAAGAAGAUAUUAGUUUCCAUUCCAUGAUAUAUGUUCAUCGAGUUGAAGGAGGCAGAGGUUCUGAAGAAACAGCUACAAAAGAAUGAAGAUUUUGGAUUUUGGGGGCAUUUGACAAAAAAAAAAAAAAAGAAAGAAAAAGAG
Long non-coding RNA from Magnolia sinica, 628 nucleotides. RefSeq lists it as uncharacterized. The record is from RefSeq and is a predicted model, not a curated record. Lineage: Eukaryota; Viridiplantae; Streptophyta; Magnoliopsida; Magnoliales; Magnoliaceae. The transcript is spliced from 4 exons.